UACGUAGGGGGCGAGCGUUGUCCGGAGUUAUUGGGCGUAAAGCGCGCGCAGGCGGCCUCGCGCGCCCGACGUGAAAGCCCCCGGCUUAACCGGGGAGGGUCGUUGGGGACGGCGGGGCUUGAGGGCGGGAGAGGGCGGUGGAAUUCCCGGUGUAGUGGUGAAAUGCGUAGAGAUCGGGAGGAACACCUGUGGCGAAGGCGGCCGUCUGGGCCGACCCUGACGCUGAGGCGCGAAGGCGUGGGGAGCGAACGGG
Molecule: ribosomal RNA, 253 nt
Filed under: uncultured bacterium
Lineage: Bacteria
Description: partial 16S ribosomal RNA
Rfam family: Bacterial small subunit ribosomal RNA
Source: RNAcentral